Molecule: ribosomal RNA, 264 nt
Filed under: uncultured Desulfobacterium sp.
Lineage: Bacteria; Pseudomonadati; Thermodesulfobacteriota; Desulfobacteria; Desulfobacterales; Desulfobacteriaceae
Description: partial 16S ribosomal RNA
Rfam family: Bacterial small subunit ribosomal RNA
Source: RNAcentral
UACCAUCAUUCAGUUGGGGACUCUAAAGAUACUGCCCCGGUCAACGGGGAGGAAGGUGGGAUGACGUCAAGUCCUUAUGGCCCUUAUGUCCAGGGCUACACACGUGCUACAAUGGGCAGUACAAAGGGUAGCAAGCCUGCGAAGGUGAGCCAAUCUCAAAAAGCUGUUCGUAGUUCGGAUUGGAGUCUGCAACUCGACUCCAUGAAGCUGGAAUCGCUAGUAAUCGCAGAUCAGCACGCUGCGGUGAAUACGUUCCCGGGCCUU